CACAUACUUAGCAGUUAUUUCCGACUAAUAAAAAAGUGCAAAUGUCUAAUUUGUUUAGAAGCAGAACUGAGAGCGGAGCAUCGGUGACAGUGACGUCACUCCAGCUCGCCUCUGAUUGGAUGAAAAUUUUAAUUUUCAACUGACCUGUGCAGUUUACACAAUAAAGUGCACACCGUGCACACAAACCCCGAAGAGCGCGUGAGAUCACCGUGAACCCGUCGCAUUCCUGUAACGCGUAACGUGUUGGUGGGAAUGUUCCUGGUCGAGAGGGGGGGGCGGGACUUAAGGCACGUCAGUCAGGCCGCGCGGCGGAGGAACGAGUCGGCGACACCUGCGAACAAAGUGAUAACCGACUUCCAGCGCGCGAACGCGCGUGAAGCUGACGCGCGCGUUCACGCGGAAUACGUCGUUCCAAAAGGUGUUCGUGACACGGAGGAGCGAGCAACGGGAUUAUAAAAAAAAAAAAAAAAAAACACAAAGAAAAAAAGUUCAUUUGAAGACUUCGAGUGAUGCGAUUUUAAGUGGAACCCGGAGCGGGAGCAGAGGCACGAGCGCAGGCUUCUGGUGGAUGGAGAGACGAUGGAGGGGAACAGAACAGAGGUGCCCCUGUAUGUCAAUGUGCUCAAAGGUGAUACUGAGGAAGACGAGAGCGGCACAGAGGAAUCUGCCCCGAGCGAUGAAGGCGUUGGCAAAGCGCUCCGAGUGGACGCGGCGGCGCCGGUGGACCAUGUAUUUGAGGAACAACUGGUUCUUUCUCUGGACGACGACGACGACGAUGAAGACUUCCCGUCCUCAUCGUUUGGGGCGGUGAACGGGCGUCCCGUGCUGCCCGCCGGAGUCCAGAACCAGCCGGUCCAGCAGCCCUCGGUGAUGGACGCCGGCGACCCGACCGCCCCGCAUCACCAGCAGGAGGAAGAAGCUGACCCGCAGGUCGGGGACGCCACCGGGACGGACGGCGGGCCGCGGGACGCGGAACAGCCGCCGCCGGCCGCCGAUGCCGCCCCUCCCGCGCUCUCACCCGCCG
Long non-coding RNA from Gasterosteus aculeatus aculeatus (three-spined stickleback), 1024 nucleotides. NCBI's taxonomy places the organism in Eukaryota, Metazoa, Chordata, Actinopteri, Perciformes, Gasterosteidae. The record is from Ensembl.